Molecule: ribosomal RNA, 429 nt
Filed under: uncultured bacterium
Lineage: Bacteria
Description: bacterial SSU rRNA
Rfam family: Bacterial small subunit ribosomal RNA
Source: RNAcentral
UGGGGAAUAUUGCGCAAUGGGGGAAACCCUGACGCAGCGACGCCGCGUGAGCGAAGAAGGCCUUAGGGUUGUAAAGCUCUGUUUUAGGGGACGAAUGUUACGGGGAGUAAUAUGCCCUGUAAAUGACGGUACCCUAAGAGGAAGCCCCGGCUAACUACGUGCCAGCAGCCGCGGUAAGACGUAGGGGGCGAGCGUUGUCCGGAAUUACUGGGCGUAAAGAGCACGUAGGCGGGAACUUAAGUCAGGCGUGAAAGACCGAGGCUCAACCUCGGGUAUGCACUUGAAACUGGGUUUCUUGAGGGCAGGAGAGGAAAGCAGAAUUCCUGGUGUAGCGGUGAAAUGCGUAGAAAUCAGGAGGAAUACCAGUGGCGAAGGCGGCUUUCUGGACUGACCCUGACGCUGAGGUGCGAAAGCGUGGGUAGCAAACAG